RNAcentral lists this ribosomal RNA (253 nucleotides) under uncultured bacterium. RNAcentral describes it as "partial 16S ribosomal RNA". It matches the Rfam family "Bacterial small subunit ribosomal RNA", at positions 524 to 776 of the family's 1533-position model. The record is from RNAcentral.
UACGAAGGGGGCUAGCGUUGCUCGGAAUCACUGGGCGUAAAGCGCACGUAGGCGGCUUUCUAAGUCAGGGGUGAAAUCCUGGAGCUCAACUCCAGAACUGCCUUUUAGACUGCAUCGCUUGAAUCCAGGAGAGGUGAGUGGAAUUCCGAGUGUAGAGGUGAAAUUCGUAGAUAUUCGGAAGAACACCAGUGGCGAAGGCGGCUCACUGGACUGGUAUUGACGCUGAGGUGCGAAAGCGUGGGGAGCAAACAGG